UCAAAAGAACAACGGGCCACAUACAAAGUAGAUGAACAUAUAGCAACAAGAAAAUAGUAAUCACAGAGUACUAAUUCUCAUCACACGUGUAUGGAACAAUAGAAAGAAAUUGAAUACAGGGAAUACUACACCACUUAUUCUAAUAAUAGCACACUGUGGCUCCGUAUUGGGUCUCCUCCGUCAAGUGUCGUAUAUAAGUAUCCCAUCAAUUAUGUGUUGCCGGUGGUUUGCACUUCGGAGGCGGCUUCGGUUUCGGUUCAGGUUUAGGCUUGGGCUCCGGCUUUGGUUCGGGUUUCGGCAUCGGCUCGGGCUUAGGACCUGGCUUUGGUUUGGAGCAGGGCUCGGGCUUUGGUUUUGGCAUUGGCUUGGGCUUGGGUUCUGGUUCGGGCUUCUCUCCGGGCUUUUGUUUAGGCUUUGGUUUGGGUUUUGGCAUCGGUUCAGGUUUGCAGGGCUCUGGCUCUGGUUGUGGCGCAGGUUUGGACAUUGGCUCUGGUUGUGGCGCAGGUUUGGACAUUGGCUCUGCUUUGGGUUCUGGCUUUGGCUCUAGCUCUGCAAAAUUCUCGACAGCAGCAAGGCCUCGGCCAGCCGCAACAACUUGGUUGAGAGUGGAGGCUGCAACUACCCCGAUGAGGAGCACGGCGAGGAGGCGAUGCCUCGCCAUUGCUGCCUACUUCUUGUGCUUGCAAGUUGUGUUGCACCUGUUGUGGUUUGUGUGUGUUUGUGUAUGUUGUGUGGAGAAUGGAGAUACAUAUGGUGUGGUUUUAUAGGCAGGGUGAAACAAAGCAGAUCUAGAUGCUGCAUUAAUUAACAUUGCAGCUAGCUAGCUGGAGUGACAAGUAGUACUGCGUAACAUGGCAAUGGAGCUAUAUUGGUCGAUUAGUUGAUUACAAAUGAAGCAACCAACGUAGCUAGAGGUGUUAAUAAGCACAGCUGGAUUUUGCGUGUGUGUCUCUAUGUGAUGAUAGUGGGGUGAGUAACAAUAUUUUUACUCUAUUGGUUGGCCUCCUGGUAGUAAUAGAAUCAUGUUAGUUGCCUUGUCAGUCCUGUUCACACGUCCAUGUGACCGGCCAUCAUUUAGAAAUCAAGAUCGAUGCUGUACACGUUAGUGCCAUUACAAAGUAGAAAAAGAAAAAGAAAAAAGCAACCGCUUCAGUUCAAUUCACAAUUCCAAGUUUUUGCGCACUCGUGUUUUCUCAAGCACUCUAUCUAGCCCGGUAUAGUUGGGCAGUUUCAGAAUUGUAGAUACCAAUGAGGAUUUUAUCAUGCUUAUUGUCUCAAAUUAUUAAAUCUUAUAACUCUCUGAUAAGCUAGGUUAUUUUGACGUUGCAUGCCCCUCAUUCUCCAGUCUCAUGCAUGCGUGUGCUUUAGACUUUAGUUAUGCAUGUAUGAUUUUCCAAAAAGGGUUUCAUGGAGACGGAGCUCCAAAACGAACUGGGUUGGUGAGUUUAGCACCGCCAUAUAUUCUGAUAGAGUAAGGAUUAUAUUGUGGUAAUGUUCUUUCCCUCCGUUUGUCAUAUUUUGAAUCAAGAGGGUUUCAUUGUAAUUCUUAGUUAUAGGAGUUAUUUUAUAAUUUCUUGUAUCUAUGAUCGAAGCAUUGUAUCUAUGAUUUUGUUGAGUUUGAAUAAAGUCACAUGCCCUUCUGAGCCACGCGGAAUACCGCACCACCAAUCGCGCUCACGCUUGAGACCGCCGUCGCCGGUGGCUGAUCUCCCUCCUCUGGUCGCCUCCGGCCCAGCCAAGUACAGAUCCGGGACCCUCCCGACGUCCUCUCUCCAGCCAUCCCGAAGUUUGGCACCGUCUUCACCGGUUCUCUCCCCGCUGAGCGGCUCGAGUUGGGCCCUCCACCUCUCCCGGUCCCGGUCACGUGCGGCUGCGCGGCCGCAUCGGGGCGCCCCUGUGGGCCCGAGCAAGCCCCCUGCGCCUUUCUAUUCUCUCGCCUCCGCCGAAGCCGUCGCGGGGCAAAAUCCUGGCAGCAGGACCCCUCGGUCAUCGUUCUCGAGCGUGGGGGCGGCGCUACUCCAGGCGGUGAUGCUCCGGUGUCAGGGGAUCCUUCCUUGGCUUGUGGAGCUGCGGUGGCGGCGGUGAGCCACAAUUUUGGAUGGCGGCGCGGCGCCGUCGUUUAGGCCGGUGUCUCCGGUGGUCGUGGAGGUGCUGGUCGUCCGGUUAGAGGUGACGAGGUCAUGGCUGAUGCUGGAGGAUGUGGCUGGAGCUGAUGCGGGGUGUGCCGUUGCUACUACGGGGCGGAUCUAGCAGGCUUGCCGUGGUGGGCGCCAGAUCCGACCGGUUUGGCUGGCUCCGGCUCGCCGGCUUUUGCAGGCGGUGAGGUUGAUGGCUCCUGCGUGAGGGUGGCGUCGUCGUCGCGUAGGAGGUGUGUGGUACAGCGGGCUUGCAGACCAGUGGUGAUGCGCCACCGGUUGCAUGUGUGGGGGGGGGGGCUCAGCGAGGUGGCUCCAGGCGAAAUCCUAGACGGCACGACGUCCGUGAACGUCGUUUUUCCUCCUUGGGGGUCGUUGUGGAGCCCUUCCUUGCCCAACACCUUCGAACCAUGGACGCCCCCCCUUGGGGGCGUUGCCUUGAGGGUCACUGGUCUCUUCCGUGCUUUCCGGAGCUGGACACACACGACAUCGGGGUCGGCAGGUACCCGUCUGGCGAUGUGGUUGGCGCGACUUCUUGUGUGGUGACGAUGGCGGCUUCAAGCGAAGUUGGUUUGCUGUUGAGUUUUGGUAGUCGGUCUCAUCCCGCGUGUUCGAGGGGUUGCCGCGCCUCACUUUGUCUUCCUGGAGUCGGAGCUGCUGAGGCGGGGCCUUGCGACGACGAUGACGCGAGGCGGGUGGUCGAUUGUGGCGCUGGCUCGGCUCAGGCUCAGUUGUUUUCUCCUACAAUGCUCGUCGACAGAGUUGGAACUGCUUGGUAGUUGGCGUGUGCGGUUGACUGUUUGGCAGUGGCCGGCAUGGGCCUCGGUGUUUGCUUGUGGUGAGGGCUGUUUUGAUGGUCAUCGAUGAUGUAGUCGGAGUCGCCCUUGUGUAGGUGUGAUGAUGAUGACACCGGGUUGCAGCCUCGACGGUGUUCUCUCUUCGGCGACGUGUGUGCGUUCUUAUGUGGGUUGUCACGUCGCCAUGCGUAUCCUGUAUGGACGUGGUGUAGCAGGUUUCACUCGGUUUUUCGUUAAUUAACCCAGCAAUUCUCUUUUUCUUAAUUAAUGGGAUGAGACAAUGCUUUUGCCUGCGUUUAAAAAAACACUAGCUAGCCGACAGUUUGUUCAAUGCGUGCUGUCAUUUUGCACAAAUGCCUAUGUCUCUACCUACUGUGAGGCGCUCACUUGUUGGGAUGUGGUGCGGGCUGUGGUCCGGUUGCGGUGGAGGAGUAACAUUAGUUUGUUUCGUGCAAUUUUCAAAACAUUUCGUCGGAGUUUUUUUCCUGUUUUCUUUAUUGGGUUUCUUUUUUUUCAUUUUCCCUUUUACUUUUUCUGUUCAUUUAUUUCAUGUAUUGUUUUGUAUUUUAUUUUUCCAUAUUUCAAAUACAGCUUGAUUUUUUUUUCAAAAUAGUAAACAUUUUAAAGUAACCAUAGAAUAUUUUCUAAUACAUGUUUGAACGUUUUAUAAGUACAUGGUGAACAAUUUUUAUAUACAAUGAAUAUUUCUCUAAAAACUGCAAGAACACAUUCUGUUUAUUUAAUGAACAUUUUUAUAUUGCCAUGACCAAUUUUAUAAACAUGCGAAAAAAAUUAAAAUGUAGUGUUUUUUUGGAACAAUGCGAAUAUGAAUUUUAAAACUCUGGAAUAAUUUUUAAGACAAGUUGACAUUUUUUAUUUUUUUACGAGAAAACUUCGGAUGUAUUUAUCCAUUGUCAUGUUAGUAUAAGAAUACCAGAACUAACAUAACUUACAUUCAGAUCCAUAGACCAUCUAACGAUGUCUACAAUCACUUGAUCAAGCCGAAAGUGCACCAUGAUCCUCACUCCUCCCUCAUCGGAGUCGGACAAUGUCCAGUCAUGUUUUUUUUACAAACUGUUAAUCAUGUAUGAAUUUUUCUAUUGUGUAUUUCAAAAUUAUCAUGGAUUUUUAAAAAAUAUUGUGCAUUUUUAGAAAAACUGUUAUUUCAAAGGUUCAUCAUGUAUGAAAAGAAAUCUUCAUCAUAAAUUGUUCAAAUUGUCCACAGUGUAUAAAUUCAGAAAAAUAUGAAGACUUUUUAAUUCUAUGUGUAUUUGAAAAAUGUUUAAUAUUUUGAAACGUUUUAUAAAUACACGAUGAAUAUUUUUAAGUAUAUUAACAGCUAUUAUACUGCAUGAUCACCUAUCAAUAGUACAAACCCAUAUAUUUUAUACGCGAUGAAAAAAUCUGUUAAUAAUAAUUUUCAUGGUGCCUUUUCUUGGAAAUCUUGACCUAGGGUGUAGUUACCUUUCACACAUAUCCGAUAUAUAUUUAAGUAAGUCAUCCCAUUUAAAUGCACAUGCAUGUCAAUCACAUUAUGAAGGGUAUGCAACCAAUAAACUUCCACUUACCACUUUUCAUCACAUGCAGGUCCUCGAUAUCAUCAAGCGUGCAUGUAAUCAUUCGACGUUUCACUUCUCAUCAUAUGCAAGUUCCACAUCAUCAAACACAUGAAAGCUCUUCACCUCAUUAUUUUUUACUAUUUAUUUUUUAGCAACAAAUAAUUGAACUUGAAGGUCACAAGAAAAUAUAUUAUGCGUGCACCCUCUAGUUACAUCUAGGUUUUCUAUUGCCAUAUGCUGAGAAUGUUGUGUGGUAUUAUUCCUACAUAUGCUAUUUUUCAUAAUUUCAUUGCUAUAAAUUUUCGUGACAAUGUGUGUGACGUUUACCUAGUAGUAGCAGAGCCAGCUUACUCACACAGCCUGGGCAUAAAUAUAACAGCGUGCCUAGAACUUAUCUAGACCAGAUAUAAUUUAGUCGCAUUCAUCUAGAAAAUCAAAACAGAUACAAAGUAGUACUACAACUCACGUCGGCACACGCACAUCUUAUAGUCACAUCCAAUGACUAUAAAAGAUGAACGAGACAUAACUAAAAUUCAGUUAGAUGAGUUUUAGCAAAACCGUAAAUAUAACGCACUCGGUCGGGACUUACUUCGUAGGUGAAGGGUAGAGAAGAAGGCCACUGUCUUGCGUGUGAGUGCACUUUAUACAUCUAGAACACCAGACACGUAUACAUAUGUGAUAUGUCUGCUGCUAGGAAGUCAUUCUCUUCUCUUUUGUUGACAUUAGCUUUCCCCCCAAAAAAGACCAUAUAAUAUGAAACAAUCACAUAGAGAGAAAAUAACAGGGACUGCACCCCAUAGAGAAAACAACAUAGACUGCAGUCCACUGACAAAAUAGCUCAUUUAUGUUUUGUUGUUUGGAAAAGGAGGUUCAAACCCCCGGCCUCUGCAUCAAUCGAUGCAUACGGUAGCUCAUUUAUGUGAAUACAAUCAUGCGUAGAUACUCCAAAGAACAACAAGUCGAGUCACAAUGUCCCAUACAAAGUAGAUGAACAUAUACCAACAAGCAAAUACUAGUAAUUACAGAGUACUAGUACUCAUCACGCGUAUAUGGAAAAAUAGAAUGAAAUGGAAUACAGGGAAUACUACUACACCACUUAUUCUAGAAAUAGCACAGUGGGGCUUGGUACGGGGUCUCCUCCUCCAUCAACUCUCAUAUAUAAGUAUCCCAUCAGUCGUGAGCUGCCGGUGGUUUGCACUUCGGAGGUGGUUCAGGUUUAGGCUCGGGCUCCGGCUUUGGUUCGGGUUUCGGCAUCGGCUCGGGCUUAGGAUCUGGCUUUGGUUUGGAGCAGGGCUCAGGCUUUGGUUUUGGCAUUGGCUUGGGCUUGGGUUCUGGUUCGGGCUUCUCUCCAGGCUUUUCUUCAGGCUUUGGUUUCGGCAUCGGUUCAGGUUUGCAGGGCUCUGGCUCUGGUUGUGGUGUAGGUUUGGACAUUGGCUCUGGUUUGGGUUCUGGCUUUGGCUCUAUCUCUGCAAAAAUUUCGACAGCAGGAAGGCCUCGGUCAGCCGCGGCAGCUUGGUUGAGAGUGGAGGCUGCAACUACCCCAAUGAGGAUCAUGGCGAGGAGGCGAUGCCUCGCCAUUGCUGCCUACUUCUUGUGCUUGCAGCUAGUGUUGCACACCUGCUGUGCUUUGUGUGUGGUUGUGUGUGUUGUGUGGAGAACUGGAGAUACAUAUUGUGUGGUUUUAUAGGCUGGGUGAAACAAAGCAGAUCUGGAGGCUGCAUUAAUUAGCAUUGGUUGAUUAGUUGAGUACAAAUGAAGCAACAACCAACGUAGCUAGAGGUGUUAAUAAGAACAGUUGGAUUUUGCCUGAGUGUGUCUCUAAUGCGAUGAUAGUAGGGUGAGUAACAAUAUUUUUACUCUAUUGGUUGCCUCCCGGUAGUAAUAGAAUUCUGUUAGUUGCCUUGUUAAUCUUGUUCACACGUCCUUGUUAGUUGCAUCAUUUAGAAAAAUCAAGAUCGACAGUGUACACGUUAGAGUAAUGCACUACAAGUAAAAAAGCAAUCGCUUGAGUUCAAUUCACAAUGAAAAGUGAAGGUAGUCUUUGAAGAGGAACUGGCUUGAUCGUACGUGCACGUCGUGUGUGAGCUUCACCACCUGUUGGAAACCCUCAAGACUCCUUGGUCUGCUUCCUCGACCGAGUUUUCACGAACUCUGCUGUGUUUUCUCAAGUGGUUUUCAAGAAGGUGGCGUUGGAUUAAUCCAUGCACAAGUUUUGCCAGAUUAUGCUGAAUGAUAUAACAAAAGUGAAGGUGUACAUCAUUUGAUGUCGAUGACGGGGUUCCUCCUUUAACAAAUAAGUGUUUUCUCAAACACUCCCUCUGGCCGGUAUACUGGGCACAGUUCCAAAAUUGUAGAUAUCAAUGAGGAUUUUAUCACGCUUAUUGUCUUAAAUUAUUAAAUCUUAUUAACUCUCCGACAAACUAAGAGCAACUCUAACAGAUCGUGUAUUCUAUGAAACUGUAGAUGUGAUUUAUAGUUCGCACAGCAGGAUCUAUACAGGCUGAAAAUUACAGCGGUAGAAUAGAAACCGUAAAAGAAACUCAAAUUUGCUUGUUGGCUUGAUGACGUGAGUCUCGCCGCCUCCUUCUCCCCUAAUAAUAAAGCAACUAACGCUUCGGUCGUCCGUCGUCGCCGAUCGCAGGACGUUUUGCAGAAAGGCUCCUAAGGUUUUAGGUAUUCAACCCGCGGUCCCUUUUAAGUGGUAUCUGAGAAAACGUUUCAGUUUUGCAAAUUAACCACUGCAUCUCGUGAGAAUUCGAUCCGCACUCCUUUGUUCUAUCUUCUCUAGUGGUGGAGAAGGUGGAAGGGGAAUAACUUCAGCUCGGCUCGUCGGCGAGCGUGUUGCAGGAGGCCGACGAGGAGGCCAGUGGGCGUUGUGCGCUUACAGGGGAGCGGGUAGGCCGGAGGUGGAGGGGAUGGCCGGAGGCUGAGGGCAGUGGAGAGAGAGGCCGAGAGAGUCGGCCCGAGGGAGGGGGGACUGAGAGAAAGAGAGAGAGAGUGUGUGUGUGAGCCGGAGAGGGGCGGUCGCCGGAGCCGGACCUCCAGAACAACGACGCAACAAUCUGGAUGGCACAACGGCUUUGAUCCCGGAGAAUGGUGAUUGAUGGCUGCCAACAGACGGAUCCGGGCGAAGGAGGCUCUGAGAGGCGCAUGGAAGGCUGUCAAGGUUGGGGGCGCCGGAUCCAGAGUUCGCAUGGUGAGAGAUGGGGAGAGGGUAGAAUCUUGCUAGUAUAAGACGAGUUAGAGAAGCGGCAACGCCUGCAGAACAGAGCAUGAAGGCAGCUCCUUUUGAGGAGGCGACGACGGACGACAGAGCUCGUGACUGCGACCUUCUCGGCUCCUGCCGGCGUGGUCACUCAAUUCGCUCCACGGCGCGAUGGCCCAUUGCCGGCAAGGCAGCGUUCUGCAACGCACCAGCCUGCAAUGGAGGCGGUGUCCAUGGUGCAGCCGUGGCCUUCAGCGCACACCGCGGGGGAAGUGCUACCGGACACCGGCUUGGCCCCGAUGCUGCUCCUCCCAGACGGUGGUACCCAUGGCCUGGCCCACUAGCCCCCGACUGAGCUCCCAGCAGAGGCGCACAUCGAUGGAGGCUUCGAGCAGGCCGCUCUGCCAUGCUUGUGCAAUGGGGGUCUGCCCGCGUGCUGGGGUGGGGAUGCACGGAUGGACAGAUCCUGGCAGUGGCUGCCACGGUGGCCGGGCACUAAGUACCGGAGUGAUUCGUGGGUGCAGCACGGACAGCUGUUGUGAGGAGCACAGCCAGGCAUCAGCGCUGGUCUCCUCUUCUCUGUAGCUGCAGGAGGAAUGGUGAUGUUUUGGAUAAGGGUCACGUAGUGCGCAGUUAGGUGAAGAUUUAGUGCCUAUUGCUAUUUUUUGAUCAAUAGUUGUUGGUAGAUGUACACGGACUUAAGCUGCUGGAUACUUCGGUGCUCAUCCCGUUGGAUUUAUAUGCGAUUGUUCGUGACGUUCCAACAAAUUGUUAUUUGCUAGAUGUUCUUUUUCACAUUAGUUCAUUAUAAUUAUUUGAUUGUACCGCCUUAUAGAGCAUCUACAACCGGACUUAACAAAUCUGACCUCUCAAACGUUCAUGGAAACGUCCGGACGCAUCUGCGGACGUUGAUCAAUUAAGCCUCAAAUAACGAAUUCUACAACCGGAUACUUUAAAUUAGAAACCUCAAAUAUAUAUUAUUACAUGCAACAUAAAUCUAAUAUUAAGCGUGGCUCGUUUGGGUCCGCCCUGUCCAUGUCGAAAGGCUAGAUAUGCCCUUCAUAGUGUCCGUCCGAUCGUUAGCAAGGUAGAGUAGGACAUGGGACACUGGCCGGUUCAUGGAAGUCGAGUUUCCGUCGUCUUCCAUGCCCAAUUCUUCCUUAAAUUUAUCACUUAGUGUUACUACAGAACAAUCCAACCGUCAACUGCAAAGUUAGUAUACGGAACUACAUGAUCAGCUUCAAGGAGCAUGUCUACGUGCUCCAACACUAGCGCAUUCAUGAAUAUUUGUUUAUAAUUUGUACAAAAACUUAUUUGGACUUAUUUAAAAUUGUAAACAUUCUAAUGAUCCUAUUUUAUAAUGUUUGUAUAAGUAAAAUCAAAUUUCAUGGCUAAAAGAAAUACUCAGUGUAACCUUACUUCUAAAGCUUGCAAAAAUUAGAUUAAAAUAAUAUUGCAUAAUGACACAGGAAGAAAAUUAUAUUUAACAUUUCGGCCGGUGCAACGGCACGGGCAUUUGUAUUAGUAGAUGUCUAUGACAGCAAGGCACGAACUUGUCACUCCCCGUAGGCAUAUUACCAGUGCCACCCAUUCGUCGAAGCAUGUUAAAUGUUAGCGCACUAAUUUAUAAAAAAAUAAUUUGUGCAUUUACUUUUGUUGUCAGUUUUAGGAUUAAUAUAAUGUUGCUUAAAAAUAUUUGUCGGGUGCUGAAAAAAGGGGAAAAGGACGAUCAAUUUGCCAACUUCACACAAGGGCUCUCAAAAUCAUAGAGCCGACCCUGCCAGCACCAUGUGACUUGUGAGAGAUUAUUAUGGCUUCUCGUAUGUUGUGUAGCACUAUCAUUAAGAGCAAUUCUAGCAGACCCUGCAUCCGCCCCCGAUCUGCAAAAUAACCGCUAAAAUGCGGGUACGGACCGAAAAGCCUGUCCGACCAGACCCUGCAUCCCAUCCCGGCCCGUAAAUUUUUUUCAGGGGCGCGGCAAAUUCUCGACCCCAACCCGGGAAAACACGGGUUUCCCCCUCGCGGCUGCGGUGCCCUGCAUCACAGAGAAGCAGUUGGCGGGAGGGACAUUUCAGCCCGUGCUCUUUUCCCCCUCCUUCCGCCGCCGCCCACCCUUGCUUCCGCUCGCCCGCCGCCGGCGAUUCCGGCCAUAUCUGCAGGCGAGCCGCUGCAUCGCCCCUCCAGAUCCGGCGAGAAGAGUCGCCCCCCCCCACCGCCGGGGAUCGACCACCGUCAAGCGCACCCCCUCGUCGCCGCCCGGGAUCACCCGCCACCGGUUAGUCCCCUUUUUGCGAUUUUUGCGAGCUGUGCGAGAAGAUGGAGUUGACCCCGUGCGAGAAGUUUUUACUAUCCGAUUCGUCCGAUUCGGACGACUCGUAUGUUGAGACCAUGCUUGCGAUCUUUCGGCAGCAAACAUUAGUCAUGGCGCUUGCCGUGAAGGAGCAUGAAGACGAGCACUGGAAGAGGAGGCGAGGAUCGAUUGUCGGGCGCUUGUGCAUUCCUCGAAAUCGCCAUCUUGGGAACGAGAUGUUGAUGCAAGACUAUUUCGCGGAGAAUCCUACAUAUCCUCCGCACCUCUUCCGGAGAAGGUACCGAAUGCGCCGAUCCCUCUUUGUGAAACUUGUUCAAGCUUGCGAGGCAAAUUGCCGGUAUUUUACUCAAAGAAGGAAUGUCGCGGGCUGAAAGGCUUGGUUGUUGUUGUUGUUGUUGUUGUUGUAAGGAAUGCUGCGGGCUUAAAGGGAUUUAGUGCAUAUCAAAAAAUCUCCGCACCUAUGGGGGGUGAUUGCAUAUGGCGUUCCGGCUGACUAUGCCGAUGAGUAUCUUCGUAUUGGUGAAUAUAGCACAAUUGAGUCUGUGCGUAGAUUUGCGAAAGUGAUCAUCCGUGUCUUCGGUCCUGAGUAUCUUCGGGCACCCAAUGAAGGACACAAAGAAAUUGAUGGCAUCUGAUGAGAGGAGAGGUUGGCCUGGCAUGCUAGGUAGCAUUGAUUGUAUGCAUUGAAAUUGGAAAAAUUGCCCCAAGGCUUGGCAAAGAAUGUAUUGUGGCAAGUCUAGUGAUGCAACAAUUGUGCUAGAGGCCGUAGCAUCUGAAGAUUUAUGGAUUUGACAUUGCUUUUUUGGUAUGUCGGGAACUCUCAAUGAUAUCAUUGUGUUGCAACGGUCUCAUUUAUUUGCUAGGCUUGCUAGUGGUGAUGCUCCUGCUUGCAACUACAUUAUCAAUGGGCAUGAAUACACAAAGGGGUACUAUCUUGCAGAUGGUAUGUACCCUCCUUGGUGCACAUUUAUCAAGAGCAUCAAAGAACCCAAAACAAAAAAACAAUGUGAAUUUGCAAGGGUGCAAGAGGCAGCCCGCAAAGACAUUGAAAGAGUAUUCGGUGUUUUGCAAUCUAGGUUUGCCAUUGUCCGUGAUCCUGCUCGUUUUUGGGAUAAGAAAACCUUGAAGAACAUCUUGACAUGUUGUGUUAUCCUGCACAAUAUGAUUCUUGAAGAUGAGAGAGGAUUGGACUUAGAAUUAUUUUACGACAAUGUGGGUAGCCGUGUUUAACCAGCUAGAGACCCAAACCACAUUAGAGAUUUUCUUCAGACAUACAAGGAGAUUGAAAAUGCAGACACGUACUUUCAACUUCAGGAAGAUCUCAUUGAGCACCAUUGGCAAAGGGCUGGACAGUGACUUAUUUUUGUAUUCAUUUGUAUUUGCAUUCAUGACAAGUUUUGUAUUGCACUAUUUAAGUUUGCUACGGUUAUUUGAAUAAUUAUUUAUAAUGCGGAUGAUUAUUGUAUUAUGUUUGAUUCGAAUAAUUUAGUUUGUUUUCGAUUGUUGAAUUAUGUUGUAUUUGAUACUUGCGGGUUGAUGAUAUGCGGGAUGUAGCGGCGCAAAGAGCAGACCCCGCAAAGCCGACCCGUUAAAAAGUAUAUUCCACGAAUGUAUUUUUUUACGGAUCCGUUUGGGGGGUCUGCAUAUGUGUCAGCCUGCAAAAGCUGUUUUGCGCGAACUGCAAACGCGUGUUGUGGACCGGCGGGAUGUGGGGUCUGCUAGAGUUGCUCUAAGAGAUUUUUCUUCGUGCGAACUGAGUAAGAGAAAAUCUUUUAAAAUAACUUUCAUGGUGCCUUUUCUUCGUAAUCUUGACCUAUGGGGUGUAGUUACACGUAAUCUUUGUAAUCUUGUUGGCAGCGCAGGUGGUGGCGGCAACGCAGGACGGCCGGCGGGCGAACGGGACAGAGCAGCAUCGAGUGGCCACCCCUAGGAUUGAUUUGGGGACGUUGUUGGAUGGUCUCACAUGUCAGAUCCAGACCCACAUCCAUGCGGUUCCACAUGUAAGAUCCGGACCCACUAUCACUAACGCCGGCGGACGGAAUGGACUCAAAACUGCCCGUUUGGCCUCGUCAUAGUAGUUGCGCACGGGCUAGAGGCAAAACUGAGCACGAUUUGCAACUGAGGGCAAAAGUGAGCAUAUGGACACCACUGAGAACAAAAAGAUAAUUAUCCCUAUUAAAUAGUGGUGCUUUUUCUACGAAUAUAAUCAAUUCCAUAAUGCUAUCCGCUUUGACCAUCCUAUUACCCUAAAUGGAAAGCAAAGUAGGUUAUUCAGCACACCAUAACUUCGUUCCUUGGUUGACUGCCUGGCCUUCAAGAAACUAGAAAAAAUGUAAUAACUCACUUCACUAUGAGCGGCUCCCUCCCCACCAAUUGGGUAGAUGGAAGCUAUAUACGUAUAGAAAAAAGUAAACCACAAUGAGAAACAUACUUGCCCCAUUAGCAUCCAUAUGACGGAGCAACCAGCCCCCUUCAACAUCUUUCAUAAUGUGUUCUACGCUGUUGAAAGCUAGAUCCACAUGAGGUGUGUGAUGCAUAAUACACCUCAAUGUGUGCUGCUAUUUAGGGAGUCCUUCUCGGGAGGGGCGUUUUGGCUCCCGGGUACAAAUGCUCCUGGGUGAACAGUAACGCAAAAAUUAUUAGAAAACAAUUUAAAAAAAUCUGAAUUUAUUUGUGGGUGUUCGUGUUAGUGUCACAAACAUGCCUGCCAAAUUUCAUGCAAAACGAAGCAGUGCUGCUUCGUCGGUGAAAAAAACAAAUUUGGAUGACAUUUUGAGAUAACAUUUGGUGUUUUAGUUUGUUUUUUCUUUUACACGGGCAAAAAAAAUUAAGCUUUUUGCCUAAAAAAUUUCAGGUAGCAUUUGGAUGUGAGAAAGAACACAUAAAAAUUGUGUUAUGAUUAUUUGACAUUUCAAAAAUUAUUUUCCAUAGGCAGGUGCACGUGCACCCAGGAGCCGAAUUGCAUUUCCGGUCCUUCUCUUCUUUUUAGUUGGCAUCAUCUUUGCCCCAAAAAAGACCACAUAAAAUGAAACAAUCCCUUUUAGAAAAUAACUGAGGCUGCACCACAUAGAGAAAACAACAUAGACCGCAGUCCACUUAUAAAAUAGCUCAUCCAUGUAAAUGAAUACAAUCAUGCGCAGAUACUCAAGAGAACAACAAUUCGACUCACAUACAAAGUAGAGGAACAUAUAUCAACAAGCAAAUAAUAAUUACAGAGUACUAAUACUCAUCACACGUGCAUGGAACAAUAGAGAGAAAUGGAAUACAAGGAAUAUUACACCACUUAUUCUAGAAAUAGCAAAGUGUGGCGUAUGGGGUCUCCUCCAUCAACUGUCAUAUAUAGGUAUCCCAUCAAUUGUGUGCUGUCGGUGGUUUGCACUUCGGAGGCGGCAUCGGUUUCGGUUCAGGUUUAGGCUUGGGCUCCGGCUUUGGUUCGGGUUUCGGCAUCGACUUGGGCUUAGGCUCUGGCUUUGGUUUGGAGCAGGGGACGGGCUUGGGUUUUGGCAUCGGCUUGGGCUUGGGUUUUGGUCCAGGCUUCUCCCCUGGCUUUUGUUCAGGCUUUGGUUUGGGUUUGGGCAUCGGUUCAGGUUUGCAUGGCUCUGGCUCUGGGUGUGGCAUAUAUUUGGGCAUUUGCUCUUGUUUGGGUUCUGGCUUUGGCUUUACCUCUGCAAACUUCUCGACGGCAGCAAGGUCUCGCCCAGCCGCAGCUCCUUGGUUGAAGGCGGAGGCUGCAACUACCCCGACGAGGAGCACGGCGAGAAGGCAUUGCCUCGCCAUUGCUGCCUAUUUCUUGUGCUUGCAGCUAGUGUUGCACCUGCUGUGUUCUGUGUGUGCGCGCGCGUGUGUUGUGUGCAUAACUGGUUGUACAUAUUGCGUGAUUUUAUAGGAUGGGUGAAACAAAGCAGAUCUGGAGGCUGCAUUAAU
This 13931-nucleotide long non-coding RNA is filed under the name Hordeum vulgare. Its description in RNAcentral is "long non-coding RNA (HVUL_LNC013806)". Lineage: Eukaryota; Viridiplantae; Streptophyta; Magnoliopsida; Poales; Poaceae. The record is from RNAcentral.